AAAGUCGUAACAAGGUAUCCGUAGGUGAACCUGCGGAUGGAUCAUUAUCACGUAUCCACGUAUCAACCAUUGUGAACUGUUUUUUACCUCUGAUAGGACUUGUGAUGGGAAAUUGGAUUGAUUUCGGUCUCUCCUUUUUUCUUACUUAUCAGUUGUAUUUCACAUAUUUAUUUACAACUUAAACCUCAAAUAACUUUAAUUUUUGAACUGAAAUUAUUUCAUACUCUUAACGGAGAUGAAAUUCAUUACGAAACAUAAGAACAACUCUUAGCAACGGAUAUCUUGGUUCUC
RNAcentral lists this unclassified non-coding RNA (291 nucleotides) under fungal sp. Its description in RNAcentral is "partial contains small subunit ribosomal RNA, internal transcribed spacer 1, and 5.8S ribosomal RNA". The stretch from base 1 to 47 matches the Rfam family "Eukaryotic small subunit ribosomal RNA", at positions 1785 to 1831 of the family's 1831-position model. The record is from RNAcentral. Lineage: Eukaryota; Fungi.